CAAACCAAUAUGAUUCAUUAGCCAAAAUACACAUAUAACCUAUUCAAUAAUUCAACCUUAAACAUCCAAGUACUAACUAUUAUUCCAACAAUUUCGAUUCAUAUUUCCUUCACAUAUCCAUACCAUUUACAUAUCCUCAUUCCAUCAACUACUUACCAAAACAUGCCAUAUCUAGUACACAUAAACAUAACCCAAUAUUUAACCAAGUUAAGCCAAAUCACAUGUCUUAAACAUAUCAAUGCAUAUAAGCUUCAAUAGCUUACAUAACUCAUACAUCUCAAAACAUCAACUAGCCUAUACAUGUCAUAUUACCAAUUUCAAAGAGUUCAAAAAUACCAAAUCAACUCCUGGAUAGUGUGAUGAAAUCUUCGAUAACUUUCAACCCGAGCGAGCUUUCAAAUCACUGUAAAAUUUAAAAAAUAAACAGAGUAAGCUAAUAAGCUUAGUAAGCUCGUAUGACUAAUAUGUACUAUAUACAAUUUAACAAUUAAUUCAAAAUUAGAGAAACAUGAGCAUAUAUAAAUCAAUCCCAUCAAAGGCAACACGUAAAAUAAUAACAACCUGGCAAUUUCUGUAUGUAUUCAUCGGUUUUCACUUACAUAUCAUAUGAAAUUAUUAAAUAUCACUUACUUGUCGAGCGUGCCAUGUAUACCUGAACUGAUUCAUAUCAUCAUUUCAAUUCUCAUACCAUUAUCUUCUCAGUUCAACUAUGGAAAUAACAUCGAAUAAUAUGUAUCUUGCACACUAAUGGGCAUAUAUGUGGUUAAACCACCUAUAUCUCGAUUCACAUAUAUAACAUUUUUUCAUACGUCAUUAUAACCUAUAUUACCAUUUCAAUACAAUCCAACCAAAUUUGCCAAAUACAUAAGCUUAUAAAAUCAUCAAUACCAUGUAAUUCACAUAACAUUGUGGCAAUUCAUUUCUAUUCGUAUAAACUAUAAUUCAUCCAUAUAACUAGUAGUUCAUCCGUAUAACCCGUAAUUCAUCAGUAAUAACAAUAAUUUAUCCGUAUCAAAAGUAAUUCAUUUGUAUUAACAGUAAUUCAUACAUAUCAACAAUAAUUCAUUCAAUUCAACAGUAAUUCAUCCAUUAAUACAAUAUUCUGUAUUAUUCCAAAAUUCACAUAUCAUACAUAUAACAUUAAUAUCACUUAUAACCCUUAACUUAUCCGUAUAACAGUAUUUAGGCCUGUUGAACCUAUUAGAACUUCAAAGGAUAGUCGAGUGAACAAUGUCAUUAAUCCGUCAAUUCAUCAUCAUACAUGCUCUUUUGAGUCAUGGUCGGUAAACUCCUUCUGAGCUGAUAAACAGUAAGCUCUUUUGAGCUAAAAACAGUAAGCUCUAUUCAGCUGAACAGUAAGCUUUAUCGAGCUGAAUCGGUAAGCUCUAAUGAGCUGAAACAGUAAACUUUUAUAAGCUGAAUUGGUAAGCUCGUAAGAUCUGUGGUAAGUCUGCAACAAAUGCAGGAGCUCGACCAAUACGAUAAUCCCAGUAAUAUGUCACUCGUAUCCAAUGAAUUCAUAUAGUUUAAACGGGGCUCGGUAACGAAUACAAUAUAUCAUUAAGACAUUUAUAUUUCAAGUAUUUCAAUUAUAUACAUUCAAUUCAACAAUUACAAAUAUAGAAAAGUUCGAUUCUAAUUAUAUGAACUUAACUGGUGUCGCUCAAAUAAAAUUAUCGGCUAUUCGUCCACUUUUCAUUUUCCCCGAUCUAGUUCCGGUAAUUGCUUAUCUUGAUCUAUAUAUAUAAUAUCAAAUUCAGCAUAUUAACUUUUCUUUCUAUUCAAUUUGACACUAUAUACACAUUUUGGAAAAAUUAUGCUUUUUCCUAUAAAGUUUCACACUUUUACAAUUUAGUCCCUAAGCUUUUAAAAUGAAAUUCAUUCAAUUUUGGCCAAACCCAAGCCUAGCCGAAUUUAGCACAACUUUAUAGCAGCCCAUAUUUUCAUUUAUUCACACAUCUAACCAUGAAUUUUUCACUUUUCUCAAUUUAGUCUAUUUUUGACAUUUUUGUCAAAAAUCACUUCAUAAAACUUGUUAAUCUAGCUUCAAACAUUAAUAAUCUAUCAUAAAACAUCUAAAAAACCUAGCAUUCAACAAUGACAUCAUUCAAAAUCUAUAUCAGUUUCGAAAAUGAAGGUACGGGCAAGCUAGAUUAAGCUGCAACGAGCUCAAAAACAUAGAAAUCAUUAAAAACCAAGCUCAAACCGUACCUUAAUUAAGCCAAAUGUGUGCCGAGCCCUAGCAAGCUUCUUCCAUGGUUUUUCAUUUCUAUUUUAGAUGGUGAUGAA
Molecule: long non-coding RNA, 2289 nt
Filed under: Gossypium barbadense (sea-island cotton)
Lineage: Eukaryota; Viridiplantae; Streptophyta; Magnoliopsida; Malvales; Malvaceae
Description: long non-coding RNA (GBAR_LNC010387)
Source: RNAcentral